UGCCUUGGAGAGGGGAAUAACACUCCGAAAGGAGUGCUAAUACCGCAUGAUGCAGUUGGGGUCGGCNUGGCUCUGACUGCCAAAGAUUUAUCGCUCUGAGAUGGCCUCGCGUCUGAUUAGCUAGUAGGCGGGGGUAACGGGCCCACCUAGGCGACGAUCAGUAGCCGGACUGAGAGGUUGACCGGCCACAUUGGGACUGAGACACGGCCCAGACUCCUACGGGAGGCAGCAUG
This 233-nucleotide ribosomal RNA is filed under the name uncultured bacterium. Its description in RNAcentral is "partial 16S ribosomal RNA". It matches the Rfam family "Bacterial small subunit ribosomal RNA", at positions 127 to 353 of the family's 1533-position model. The record is from RNAcentral.